RNAcentral lists this long non-coding RNA (3662 nucleotides) under Homo sapiens (human). RNAcentral's name for it is "non-protein coding lnc-PANK1-2:17". The record is from RNAcentral. Lineage: Eukaryota; Metazoa; Chordata; Mammalia; Primates; Hominidae.
GGUUACAGUGAACUAUAAUCACAUCACUGCACCCAUCCUGGGUGACAGAGCAAGACCCUGUCUCUAAAAAAUAAAGAAAAGGAAAGAAAAUACAAUUUGAGGGAUGUUCAACAAAAUAACUGAUCAGUACUCUUCAGAUGUAUCAAGGUCGUGAAAGAGGUCUGCAUGAGUAUCUGCGGGAUGCCCAGAAAAGCUUACUCUAGAUGGGGCUGCUCCAUGGCUUCUGUCUGACCUACAAUGCCAAAAAUAUUUGAGAGGUUAGGAGAACACAGUAUCUCAAGCUAUACCUCAACACAUAGCCCUCCUGUCUGAGCUUUCUCUUCUGGCCACUAUACCAAGGGUAUUCAAGAUCACAGGAAUCCUGUCAUCCUCACACACCCCCUUUUUAGUGAUAGGGAGGUAUUUGUCUCAUCCUUCUUGUUGCUCUCAACGUGUCUUUCUCCUCUUCUGGGAACACCUAGCAGAAUCUAGAAGAGUUUGAACCAUUACAUAAUAAAAGCUUCUCCAUGAUAACUUCUGCUUUCCUUGUGCAAAAAAACCUUGGGGGAAGAAAAUACCAAGAGUCUCGCCUAGAAAAAAGGUAGUGAGCACAGGAUAUGGAGAAUAUGAAGAAUUAUUUAUCUCAAUACACCUUCCUGCCACAAAAAUUAAUCCAAUGCCCCCACAGUAGUAUGAGGCAGAACUAAAAUUCAAAAUCACUCCUUCAGUUAUGCACACUACCUAAAUAGAAAACUCAUGUGAAGGUUGAGCUCCAGCUGUCGCUGGGCAGGUGCUCCUAGACAGGGAAAAGCAGCAGCUGCAGAUUCUAGCUGAGAGCUGCCCUGUGACCACUCUGAUUGAGAUCACGGUUGGGCAAGAUACACACACUUGAGUCUUCGGGUUUGCAGUUCAAACCUAGAGCUGUCUCAUCUACAGCAGGACAUUCAAUCAUCUUACACGAGAUAAAUGCAGUGUUUCCGAAGGACAGAAUCUAAAUUAUUCUGAUCUUGGAAUUUCCACAUAGUUCAUGGUUAUGUAAAGAUGUGCUUGCCAGAAGCACAAUGACAGCACUAUUAAAGAGCACUUAAAUGGAAGAAGUUUAGGCACCUUCUCAAAUUGUAAUAUUAAUACUUGCACAGGGGUUAGGGGCGCCAACCCCCUACACAGUCAAAAAUCCACACAAAACUUUUGACUCCCCCAAAAUUUAACUACUAAUAGCCUACUGUUGACUGCCUUACUGAUAACAUAAACACUUGAUUAAUACAUAUCUUGUAUGUUGUAUAUAUACAAACGUACAAAAUAUAUACUGUAUUCUUACAAUAAAGUAAGCUAGAGAAAAUAAAAUAUUAAGAAAAUCACAAGGAAGAAAUGUAUUUACUAUUUAUUAAGUGGAACUGGAUCAUCAUAAAGGUCUUCACCUUCAUCAUCUUUACACCGAGCAAGCUGAAGAGGAGGAGGAGGAGGAGAGGUUGGUCUUGCUGUCCCAGGGGCAGCAGAGAUGGAAUAAAAUCCACAUAUAAGUGGACCCAAACAAUUCAAACUCAUGUUGUUUAAGCGUCUACUGUAUAUCCCUUUGAACAAUAAUUUUCAUAUUUCCAGGUAGAAGACUUAUUUUAAUACUGUUUCAAACAAUCAAGAAGCUCAUUUUGUUCUAAAUUAACUUUUUUGCAGUAUAAUAUGAAUUUGUUCUUACUCAGAAACAAAAUUUUAAAUAGCAAAGGAGUCAAGUCAUUGAGAAAACAGAGCCACUUAAUUUUAAAUCUGUCUUUAUUUUUGUUUACAGUAGUAUUUUUAUAUUGACCUCAACUAAUAAAAACACAUUAAAAAUAAAAAAUGCAGGAUGGAGGAGGUGAUGUGGGUCCUCUGAACAGCCAAAAGAGAAGUAAUAAAGUUGAGGUUUUCAUAAGUGAGCCUUUGGACCCACAGUAUUUUGUUUACCCCAGUCCAUUUUUUUCUCUCAGUAAACAUUUUAGAUUUGUUAUGGGGUAUGACAAAAAACAAAGCAAAGGUAGAAAGAAUAACUCUCCAAAGACACACCACCCAAAGACUACCACUGUUAAUAUUUUGAUCUAUUAAAUAUAUUUCUUUUGGAGUCUUUUCCUACUUUUUUUUUUUUUUUUUUUUGUCUUUUUGAGACAGAGUCUCGCUCUGUCACCAAGGCUGGAGUGCAGUGGUGCAAUCUCAACUCACUGCAACCUCCACCUCCUGGGUUCAAGCGAUUCUCCUGCCUCAGCCUCCCAAGUAGCUAGUAUUACUAAUUUUUUGUAUUUUUAGUAGAGAAGGGGUUUCACCGUGUUAGCCAGGAUGGUCUCGAUCUCCUGACCUCAUGGUCUGCCAGCCUCGGCCUCCCAAAGUGCUUGGAUUACAGGUGUAAGCCACCGCAUUGGUCCCUCCUAUAUAUAUUUUCAAAUAUUGACUAUUGUUAAUAUUGUCUGUUUCCUUUUUUCUUCUUCUUUUUUAAGAUGAAGUCUCCCUCUGUUGCCCAGGCCAGAGUGCAGUGGCAUGAUCUCAGCUCACUGCAACCUCUGCCUCCCAGGUUCAAGUGAUUCUCAUGCCUCAGCCUCCCCAAUAGCUGAGAUGACAGGUGGGCACCACCAUGCCUGGCUAAUUUUUGUAUUUUUAGUAGAGACAGCGUUUCACCAUGUUGGUCAGGCUGGUCUGGAACUCCUGACCUUAGGUGAUCCACCCACCUUGACCUCCCAAAGUACGAGAUUAUAGGCAUUAGCCAUGGCACCCGGCCUGUUUCUUUUAUAGUCAUGUUCAAACAGUAUUUAUGUAGUAUUCUGUUUCUUCCUUUUUACUUAUUAUUUCCCCCAUUUAAUAAAUAGACUCUUCAUAAUCCUUUUUAAUGGGUAAUAAUCGUUCAUGUGGCUACAUUAUUUACUUAACCAGUUCCCUAUUGUUGUAUACAGAAAGAAUUGUCUUCCAGAAAAUUCAUUCCUGUGCUUUGCCUCUCAAAUUAGCAUUGGUGUAUGUGGCUAAGUGCCAGGAGUUUCUGGAUACAAGAUAAUAAGUAUCUUCUUGCUGGGCGCAGUGGCUCACGCCUGUAAUCCCAGCACUUUGGGAGGCCGAGGCAGGCGGAUCACGAGGUCAGGAGAUCAAGACCAUCCUGGCUAAUACAGUGAAACCCUGUCUCUACUAAAAAUACAAAAAAUUAGCCAGGCGUGGUGGUGGGAGCCUGUAGUCCCAGUUACUUGGGAGGCUGAGGCAGGAGAAUGGCAGGAACCCGGGAGGCGGAGCUUGCAGUAAGCCGAGAUCACGCCACUGCACUCCAGCCUGGGUGACAGAGCGAAACUCCGUCUCAAAAAAUAAAUAAAUAAAUAUCUUCUCAGGCUCACAAAUUUUUCACAAAAUUGGAAGCAGAGAUUCAUCUAAAAUAGACCCAAUUCUGAUAUAUUAUGAAAUAGAAAUGUGUAUGAAUUUUUAUGAUAAACCAGGAAAAUAAUUUUAAAAAUUAAAUGUGGUUGAAAACUAUUUUGUGGAUAUAUUUGUGAAUUAUAGAUACAACCUGUGUGGAGAGAACUGUGUAGGGUCUUUUGUGAUACUUAAUUUUACAUCUUUUGUAGGUACACAAAAGAAAGCAAUGUCUGUAUGAUUACAUAAGAAAACAAACAAAACCUUGCCUUGCUUUCACUGAAGGAUUCUAGAACUGUGUAUCUUCACUCCUGCUCUAUUUUGUCUAU